AUGGCUCAUCUUCCCUUAAGUGCGAGGUGUGGAAGGAGAAAUGCAAUAUUUUUGAAUCUGACCACUUCCAUUAUGCUUGUAUACUAUUAUGUGUGGUUCACGUUUGCAUUAGCUUAUAGGAGAAAAUGUUGGCAAAUAGAAAGGAGAAUUAAAAUUAGAGAGUUAAGGGGAGAGAACUUGUAUCGACUAAUUGGUGAGAGCGACGCCAUGUGUAUAAGUCAACUUCAUAUGGAUAGGAGAACAUUUCGUAUAUUAUGUGAGAUGGUGAGAGAUAUUGGUGGUCUAAAGGAUACAGAGAACACACCAUUAGAGGAUAUAGUGGCAUCAUUCUUGUAUGUAUUAUCACACCAUCUCAAAAAUAGGACAGUAGGAAAAUUCUUGUAUCGAAGCCCUGAGCCAAUUAAUAGAAACUUUAACGCUUGUCUUUUAGCUGUCUUGAAGCUGCACCAUCUGCUACUUCAGAAGCCUGAACCUAUACCCGAGGAUUGCAGCGAUGAUAAGUGGAAGUAUUUCAAGAAUUUCCUUGGAGCGUUAGACGACACACACAUAGGCGUAACAGUCCCAGCUAAUCUGAAAGGAAGGUAUCGAUCAGUUGGGUGA
RNAcentral lists this ribosomal RNA (600 nucleotides) under Triticum aestivum (bread wheat). RNAcentral's name for it is "partial small subunit ribosomal RNA". Lineage: Eukaryota; Viridiplantae; Streptophyta; Magnoliopsida; Poales; Poaceae. The record is from RNAcentral.